RNAcentral lists this transfer RNA (74 nucleotides) under Muribaculaceae bacterium Isolate-002 (NCI). It matches the Rfam family "tRNA". From Rfam's summary of the family: Transfer RNA (tRNA) molecules are approximately 80 nucleotides in length. Their secondary structure includes four short double-helical elements and three loops (D, anti-codon, and T loops). Further hydrogen bonds mediate the characteristic L-shaped molecular structure. tRNAs have two regions of fundamental functional importance: the anti-codon, which is responsible for specific mRNA codon recognition, and the 3' end, to which the tRNAs corresponding amino acid is attached (by aminoacyl-tRNA synthetases). tRNAs cope with the degeneracy of the genetic code in two manners: having more than one tRNA (with a specific anti-codon) for a particular amino acid; and 'wobble' base-pairing, i.e. permitting non-standard base-pairing at the 3rd anti-codon position. Lineage: Bacteria; Pseudomonadati; Bacteroidota; Bacteroidia; Bacteroidales; Muribaculaceae. The record is from Rfam by way of RNAcentral.
GGACUUGUAGCUCAGUUGGUCAGAGCAGCGGCCUCAUAAGCCGAUGGCCUCAGGUUCGAUUCCUGACUUGUCCA